RNAcentral lists this small RNA (29 nucleotides) under Bombyx mori (domestic silkworm). RNAcentral's name for it is "ovarian small RNA-35945". The record is from RNAcentral. Lineage: Eukaryota; Metazoa; Arthropoda; Insecta; Lepidoptera; Bombycidae.
UGUGUAUAGUAUGAAUUAUCUAUCGAGGG